GACGUAGGGUGCAAGCGUUGUCCGGAAUUAUUGGGCGUAAAGAGCUCGUAGGCGGUUUGUCGCGUCUGCUGUGAAAACGCGGGGCUUAACCUCGCGCGUGCAGUAGGUACGGGCAGACUAGAGUGCGGUAGGGGAGACUGGAAUUCCUGGUGUAGCGGUGGAAUGCGCAGAUAUCAGGAGGAACACCGGUGGCGAAGGCGGGUAUCUGGGCCGUUACUGACGCUGAGGAGCGAAAGCAUGGGGAGUGAACAGG
This 253-nucleotide unclassified non-coding RNA is filed under the name uncultured Allobogoriellaceae bacterium. RNAcentral's name for it is "uncultured Bogoriellaceae bacterium contains 16S-23S intergenic spacer region". It matches the Rfam family "Bacterial small subunit ribosomal RNA", at positions 524 to 776 of the family's 1533-position model. The record is from RNAcentral. Lineage: Bacteria; Bacillati; Actinomycetota; Actinomycetes; Allobogoriellales; Allobogoriellaceae.